Molecule: non-coding RNA, 535 nt
Organism: Odocoileus virginianus texanus
Lineage: Eukaryota; Metazoa; Chordata; Mammalia; Artiodactyla; Cervidae
Source: RefSeq, a predicted model, not a curated record
AAGCAGAUCUUCUAGAGGAAAGGACUGUGGCCAGAGAAGAGCUGUUGGGAUUAGACAGGAUGUGGACAUCAUAUUGGUUGAAGAGCAACUGAAUAUGUUACACAGACGAAGUGAAGGCUUCAGAGGGCUAAAUGCUUCAUCCACAAGAAGAGGAAGAACCAGGCCAGGGAGUGGAGGGUACAUGCAGAUAGAUUUCAGCUCAGUGGAAUGGAUCUGAGUGUUUCAACGAGUGUUCCAAUAGUAUCCCUCAGAGGAGUAAGCUGCCAAAUGUUGGCAGCGCUCAAGCGGAAGCAGAAGGAACACCUGUCAGGGCAUAAAGAUUGCUGCACUCAUUUUAAGGGUCUCAUUAUACCAUUUCGAUGGUUCAUUCUGAACCUUCUCCAGUUCCACUGGAUUUUGGAGACAUGGCAAUCAAAUGUAUGGAUGACACAGAUUUUUGUGUGUAUUAUAAAGAAACUGCAGUAACCUUCCUGAUAGUUCCCAGAAUUUACCUGGUCUCUUUGAUUGCUUAGAAUUACACAGAUUAAGAAACCUA